GAUCAUGGCUCAGGAUGAACGCUAGCUACAGGCUUAACACAUGCAAGUCGAGGGGCAGCAUGACCUAGCAAUAGGUUGAUGGCGACCGGCGCACGGGUGAGUAACACGUAUCCAACCUACCGGUUAUUUCAGGAUAGCCUUUCGAAAGAAAGAUUAAUACCGGAUAGUAUAACGAGAAGUCAUCUUCUUGUUAUUAAAGAAUUUCGAUAACCGAUGGGGAUGCGUUCCAUUAGUUUGUUGGCGGGGUAACGG
Molecule: ribosomal RNA, 252 nt
Filed under: uncultured bacterium
Lineage: Bacteria
Description: partial 16S ribosomal RNA
Rfam family: Bacterial small subunit ribosomal RNA
Source: RNAcentral